GACCAUGAAGCUGGUGCAGCUGCUCCUGGGUCAGCACCAGCCGGUGUCGCUGUCCAAGGCCAGCUGCGCACGAGAAGGUCACUUUGCCCAUGUAGACAGUGUCGUCCUGCUGCUCCUCCUUGGCCUGGGAGUUGGCAAGGGGAAGAGCACAGGUCUGAACUC
Lynx canadensis (Canada lynx) is the source of this 162-nucleotide long non-coding RNA. RefSeq lists it as uncharacterized. The record is from RefSeq and is a predicted model, not a curated record. Lineage: Eukaryota; Metazoa; Chordata; Mammalia; Carnivora; Felidae. The transcript is spliced from 3 exons.